CCGCGCUGUGCUCUUGGAUCUGGAGCCCGGCAUCAUGGACUCUGUGCCCUUCGGGCGAAUCUUCAGGCCGGACAACUUCAUCUUCGGUCAGAGUGGUGCAGCGAACAACCGGGCCAAGGCACACUAGUGGCCCACUACUAUUACAGAAGGCUCAGAGCUGGUGGAGUCAGUGAUGGAUGUUGCGAGGAAGGAGGCUAAGAGCUGUGAGUGCCUUCAGGGUUUCCAGCUGACCCACUCCCUGGGUGGGGGGACUGGAUCUGGGAUGGAUACCCUUCUCAUCAGCAAGAUCUGGGAGGAGUACCCAGACAAAUCAUGAACACAUUCAGCAUUCUUCCCUAGCCCAAGGUGUCGAACACAGUGGGCCACCCUCUCAGUCCACCACCUCAUAAAAAAAACAUAGACAAAACACAGACAUUUUGCAUUGAUAAUGAAGCUCUCUAUGACAUCUGCUUGAGAACUCUAAAGCUGCCCACAUCCACCUAUGGUGACCUGAACCACCUGGUUUCUCCCACCAGGAGUGGGGUCACUCCCUGCCUGUGCUUCCCCAGCCAGCUAAAUGCUGACCUACAGAAACUGGCUGAGAACAUGGUCUCAUUUCCCUGCCUGUACUUCUUCAUGCCUGGCUUUACCCUGCUGACCAGCCAGGGUAGCCACCAUUACUGGGCCUGAUGGUGGCUGAGCUCACCGAGCAGAUGUUUCAUUGCCAAGAACAUGAUGGCUUCUUGCAACCUCCACCAUGGUUGCUACCUAAUGAUGGCUGCCAUUUUCAGGGUCCACAUGUCCAUGAAAGAGAUGGACAAGCAAAUGUUUAACAUCCAAAAAGAGCACAGCAGCUAUGUUGCUGAUUGGCUCCCCCACAAUGUGAAAUUGGUUGUCUGUGACAUCCCACCCCACCCCGGGGCUAACUAAAAAUGUCUGCCACCUUCAUGGUCAGCAACACAGCCAUCCAG
RNAcentral lists this long non-coding RNA (950 nucleotides) under Homo sapiens (human). Its description in RNAcentral is "non-protein coding lnc-FAM49A-6:1". The record is from RNAcentral. Lineage: Eukaryota; Metazoa; Chordata; Mammalia; Primates; Hominidae.